CUCUCGCACACACACACACACACACACACACACACACACACACGCGCGCCCGCCCGCUCGCUCCCGAGCUGCCUCAGCAAGGAGGAGCCCGGACGGAAAGCACCAGGGCAGCAAGACUGCCUUUCCCAUCUUCGCUGAUGCUGGAUUUGGAGGUGAAGUUCCCGGAGAAUGAACCUGGCAGUGAGUGCAGGUUUCACUGAAAGCUGAGGCAGUUUCUUAUUCCCUAGGAGACUGAGAAGUGAGGGGACCCUGGAUGUCAGCCCAAUCUCCGUUUUUUCAUUUGUUUUGCAGGAGAUUUGGGGCAGAUUUUCUCCUUCAACUCUGGGAAUUGACAGGUACAAUUCAUGCAGGCACCUUUGCGUGUCUCAAGAAAAAAGCCCGAGACCGUGAAGUUGAUGUCACUGCUUUCUCUAGUUAACCAGUGGUACGCCCUUCUAUUAAUUGCUAUUAGAAAGUGCAGCCUUGUACCAUAGUCAUUGAAUAAUCAUUAAACUCUGGAGGAUACACAAGCCCAAAGGUUAAUAAUAGGAAUAACAAUUAAUAGUACUGACCUUGCCAAUGGGGAUAGUGUUUUUGUCAUAGUUAUUACAAGGUAAUCCUAUGUAUACUGUGAACAGUGGUGUAAAUUUGGACCCAAUGUGUGGAGUACCAAAUCACUGUAGCAACACCAGAAAUUAAUUUACCCCAUUAUUUCCAUGUUAUUAGGCCUCUGACUUUUUCUCCCUUUAAAAUGUAUCAUCCACUAACUGCUUCGUUUUAAACAGCAAUGCUAAGUCUUUAAUCAAUUCUGACAUUUCACUAGAAAAUAACAUCUAGCUCUCUUACACAGAUAAAAAUUUAUUUGCCUGCAGCUGAUUUGUUGUAGUGCUUUGGACCUAUUCGUUUCUCAAAGAGGACUUAGAUUUUUAUGGUCUUUAGGAACUAUGGGGUAAUAAACAGAAAAUCAGUACAAAGAGGGCAUUCUCACUUUUAUAGGUUUAACUAUCCACUCCCUAGAGCCACCUCCUCGCACAGCCACUCUGACUGACUGACUGGCUGACAAACUGGCACCCUUCUAUUGUCAAAGACCCAUCUCCUUUUAUAUGUAUCACAAUCUUCUGACUGUCUAGUCAGUGAGUCCUAAUAAUAACCAUGUUUCAUGUCUCAGAAAUCUAAUAAUCAAGUUACUCAUUCUUAUAAAUUGCAGCUAAGCUAUUUGGGUUAGUCGCGUUAUCCCCACUUUGAAGGCAGGGAAACUGAAACGGGAAAAUUAACACGUUUGCCUGAGGCCACACAUGGAUUUAAGAGUAGAUCCAAGACUGGAACUGAAUUCAGACCAAGCCUGCUCUUAAAAGAUCCUCAAGUGCACUAUGGAAAAUGCUUCUUUAAAAUAAAGAAAUGUAAUAUAAAGCUUAUUUUUCAUGAAUUUUGUAUAUUAGUCAAAAGGCAUUCUUUUUUUUUUUUUUUUUAGAUCACAUUUCCUUUUCUAAAUAUAAGAUUUAUCCAGCUCUUGAAAAAUUAUGGUGACACCUUUCAACUGCAUGGGGCAGUUUACUUUGGAAACAAGAAACAUUUAAUAUGAGAUUGUGAGCAGUAAUGGAAGCCAAAUUGCUCAUUAUUAGGUUACUGUAAACAAUAUGCAGUGGGUGUUACAGUGUAGUUACAGGUCAACAAAAUAUAACGACAAGUCAGGUAUUAGUAUAGAGAAGGUGUUACUGCUUACCUGGCGUGCAUCGGUUUUCACCAUAAUACUCCUUCAGUGCUUUCAGUAUCAAAAUACUUAGCAUGGGUCCAGACAUAGAAAAACACAUGGGACAACCAUAUACUGUGUUUGAGAAUUAUGAUUUAUGUCAUUAAGCAGUGAGUUUUACCAAGUUGUGUCAUUCAUGUCAAUGAAGCAAGACAUAUAUUGCCUGCCCUUUACCUGUGGCAUGUCAUCAAAGCUAUAUUAUGGUGUGACUGAGCGCAGAUGGCAUGCCUAAGAAGCAGGUGUACAAUAUAACUUUCCUAGUACUGACACAUAAAUAUUUCCUCUUCCUCAUUGUCCACCCCCAGAUGUUUGCUUGCCCAACCUUCUACAGGAACUGUAGAAAGUCCUGCUCAUCCUGCUCGUCCCUGAUGGCUGGAAUUGUGCAGUCAAAACCCUAUAAGGAAUAAGUGUUUGCCGUACUUGUGCUGACAGCUCCGUUCUGCACUUUUUUAGAUUUGAGGGAGGUGAGUGCAGAUCUCAUUCAAAUAAUCAUUCUCCAAUACUAUUAGAAUUACCUGCCAAAAAUGAAAGUGGCAUAUGAAUCACAAUAAACGACUCAUGAAUUUGUGGAUUUAGAGCCUGCCAAGGAGCACCAGAAAUCCACGAUUUCAAAGUCCCAUGAGUUUUAGGGACUUUGAACAAUGCAUAAAAGUACAUUUAUCCAAAGACCAUCUUAUUGAUGACCCAUCCCGUAAGGACUAUAGACAUAACCGAUUCAAGUGAAGGACAAUAUUAACUGAAAAUAAUUCUGCUCAAAUCUUUCACUUUAGAGUGAGGUGGUGAAUCUACCAAUUGAAACUCUGACAGAGGCCCUUCUUGAGGUGCUCCUUACUGAAGCACUACUGUGACAUAAUGAUGUGGAAAUAAGUCUGUGUGUGAGAAGAGCUAUUGGAUCCUCUGGGAAAUAUCACAGAUGCUUUCCAGUUCCUUUCAGACAUGUAAAUAACUUUAUGUUUAGACAUGAGUAAAGAGUGGUGGGAAGUGAAGUAGAGCAAGGAGUGGAGUGGGGUUAAAAGGAUCCACAUAGAUCCAGGAGCCAAAUAAAUGCAUAUGGCUUUUUCUUCUGCAUCUGAUGUUAGCUGGGGCAUGAAAUAAAAUGUUCAUUAUUAGGGAGAAACACUGCAUGAACGUGUGCAUACUUGAGAGUUAAGUCGACCUCAAGAUGGUUGAUGCCAUCUUCUGCCUGAAAUUACAGAUGAUCAACAGAAAUCUCAGUAAUGUUCAGAUACUUAUGUUGUUCCCAAGUAACAUAUACCUUAUCAAGUAUGGUUAAUUUCUAGCUUGUAAUAUAGAGUUAAUGCUGUAGCAUUGAAAAACACUACAUGCCACCUAGCAUUUCUCAUCACUGCUUGCUUUCUUCAUGGUUUCCUUUAAGCUAAGCACAUCAGAAACUGAAAAUAAAAUGUUUGAUUGAUCUUUCCCUCUUAACAGACAAAACCAGCAGCCUAGGUUUUAUAAUCUGUUUAUAUGUUAGUACUUACGAAAUACAGCAAAAAAAAAAUGCUUAUUAGCAUGGUCUACACAUAGCUGUCUCAGCAGCUUGAUGAAAAGUUAAGACUUGGUUUGAAUAACUAUGUUCCGACCGGUUUGGCAUAAUCUUUUGUAGAUGAAAAUGGCAGUGAACAAGCAUGCUGGAGUGGCCUGUGCAUAUCUUAUAAGCAAGUGGUCAUUGUCAGUUGUACCAUAAUCUCAUCUGAUGAUUCAUCUCACUGGUGGCUCAAUGUAAGACACUCAGAUGACGUUUCCUGAAUGCAGCUACUGCUUUCGGUGUAUUUUGGCAGUCUUGAUUGUUCUACUCUUUGUUGGUUAGAUGCCAAUCUCCUGAACUUAGGCCUAUGCCACCUCGCUACCUGAAUGUCUCUUCUGAAAAUGUGUUCACUGAAAUGGGCAUCACGUCAAGAAUAACAAAUUUAUCUGUCCAACUCUAGACUGGCUUAAUUUUCCUCCAAUCAUUCAUUGAAGAUUAGUGUUACUAGGCUGUGAUGCUGCGGAGUACCUCAGUCCAUUCAGCUUCUCUUCAAGGUGGUAAUCACUUCCUGCUCCACGUCUGUAGCAGGAGAUCUAUGGUUACCUAUAAAAGUAAACUGUAUCCUGUAAAUGUCCUCUUAAAACUUGUGCUCUACAGAGGAGAAAAUCAACUUGUUGCACGUGCAUCAGUGACAUCAAACACACUUCUCUUUGCGUGACUACCUUCUCCACCUUCUGUCAGUCUAAAAUUUUAAUUUUUUAAAGAAUGGAAUGAGUUGUAUUAAUAUUUGUGUGAACCACUUUUCCUGUACAUUGUCUGCUCGUCUUUUCUCUUUUCCCUUGGUGUCUGGUUUGUCUUGGCUGCUUUUAAAAAUUCUGUUGCCUCUAGUGAGGGACUGCCAGAUUAAACCAGCGAAAAGAAACCAGGUGACUGUCUACUUUUACAAAUAUAGGUUGUGUAUAAUAAAUUCAGGCUUUACAUCUAUGCAAAUUACAUCAUCAUAUGAUUCUGACUACAUGCAUUUUUUAUCAAAUAUGGCAUAUAUUUCACAAAUUAUAUUUAACUUAUAGUCAUGUUGCUAUUCUAAAUACCUAACAAGAAGUUAAAAGGUGUGUCACUAGAUCUUUGUAAAUAGGCUUAUGAAGACUGAGGAAAUGAGAGAAAAUAAUAUCUGGGUUUUUUUUCUUCAAUUCGUGCUAAUUCCAGUGGAAGGGCUUUUCCUGCUGUAGGUGAUAAUAUAAACACCUCACCACUGAGCUAUUUAGAGACACAAGUGCAUCUUGUUAUUAGGAAUUCAGAGAUUUUGAAAAGACUUAAACCAAAGCAUGACCAGAAUGAGGAAGUUUUAAAGCAAUGUGUCUUUGGUCUGGAGUCUACUGCAUCUGGUUAGUAAAGCCUUCUGCUAAUGUUUUGUCCUGGAGUAGAAGACAUUAGUCACAAUGUCAAAAUAAAUAUUUUUACUUCCGCAAAAUUAUAUUUUCACCUCAGGAAUAUUGUGAAGUGAAAAUAGGAUUUAGCACAAAUCUUCCUCCGGGGUUUAUCUACAGACAAGGCAGUUUGAGCGUAAAGCCUUCAGCCUUGCAAUAUGAUUCCCAACCGUAGGUGCACCAUACUUUGAAUAAUCAAUCUGUCAGCAGAGCUAUGACAAGGAUUAUGCCGUGAAGGUAACAACUCGAUGCUUCCAGUGUUAACUGUCCUCAACAACUGCUGCUGGUUUGGGUUUUUUUUUUUUUUUCAUAAAUAAAAGAUAUUUUGGUGAGCGCAAAGAUGUCUGUUAAGACUUGUGUUUCUGGAUGGUGUGAAAUGUGGGACUCUGGUGGAAUAGAAGCAUGUGAACAAACAGGUGUGAUUCAAAAAACCACUGCUAAGCAGUUGCCUAAACCUCAAAGCACUACAUUUGCCUCUCAUGAUUCAUGCCUUGGAGUUAGUUCCUUUUCCUCCUGAGACUCCUGAGUGGCCUUUCAGGAGUGGUCAUGCCCAGUUCUCUGGACCCCAGGACCAUGACAUUCCUCCACUCAAAUGUCCUGGUUGACCUGACCUCCUGGCCACACCUGGAGCAUGCCUCAGACUCACUGACACAACUCACUUGACAAAAUGCAGUAGGGUCACAGUGGUAAUGAUGGUACAUAUUCCCAGGACUUUUUUAUUUAUAAUUUUUUGAGGGGGAUGAUGUGUGUAUUCCACAACAAUUUAGCAUAGCAAAGACAGAAAUAAUCCUGAGGAAACUCAGUGUGUGCCCCAGCCCUGGGAAUAACCUAAACAGUAGAUUAUGAUCUAAGGAAUCUUGAAUUUGUUUGUGCUCAAGGGCACUGUUUCGGCAAAAGGGUUGAGACUGUCUUUUCUAAAAUAACCAUCAGCAUGAUGGUCAGAGUCUUCCCUAGGGUGAGAGGAGAUGUGGGUUGGGGCCUUUCAGGGCAAGAGAGAUGAAUCCCAUGAUUGCAUGAGUGUUCUAAUCACAGAGUUGUCGUAUAGAGGGAGAUGGGAAGCCAGCUUCUCCUCCAGCUAUGUUUUAAUAAAACAUAAGUUUUGAAGGAAAGAUCACAGGAACCUAUUUUCAUAAAAAGAAUCAGGGUGUAGAUACGGAGUGGAUGGAGGCAUCUCUCAGACAGCUCUGGGUAGAGCCCUGUCUUUAGAGGCAAUCCUCAGGUAGAGCCUUGGCUUUAGAGGGAGGCAGGAUUUUAGAUUUGGGACAAACCUCAUAUUUUCCCUGGUUAAUUCCAGUCAGUUUAUGUUGAGGUCAAGACAUGCUGUGCUGGCUGUUUUCCAGGCCACCCAAGUGUCUCUCCAUGUACACUGCAGGUAAGUUGUACUUUUAAAACAUGAUCCUGGAUACCUGGUAGGGAAUCAUGGGCCAAAAAAUUCAAUAUUGGAGCACCAGAAUCCUUUAUAGGAUCGGGCCGUAAAAUGAUAUAAAUCAGUAUCUGUUCAUUCAGAACAGUUGGUUUCGUAUAAACACCAAUACUUAGUAUCAGCUAGUAACUGUUCUCUUAGUAGAGUUUCUGCACUAUUUUUGUUUGUAUCACAAAUGACAGCCCAGGAAAUUGUUGGAUUGCAUAUUAUUUAUAAUGAAAAUUCUCGCUGUGUUUCCCACUGGAAGCUGUAAUGGCUAGCAUGGCUAGAGACUCAUAUUGGUUUGAGUCCUUUGGGAUACAAGGUUAGAGUUAUAUUUUUAUGGAAUUUAACUAAAUGAAAGUGAAAAUAAAUACUAAAAUUUUGACCUUUUUUUUUUUAGGAAAAUGUAAUGAUAUUCAAAGAUGCUUAUUUCUCCUUUAAAAAUAAUUUCAUAUUAUCUGCUUGCAAACUUCCAAAAUCAAGGCACAAUAUAUCCCGCCAGAAAAAGGCAACAACAUGAUGGCAGUCCAGUGCACAGUCCAGUUACCCCCGCCAUGGGGUAACUGACUGCUUUUGCCACAUACAGAAUAUAUGGGCACAGUUCAGACAGUCUGUCCCAUUCAUGUUUCUUUCCCCAAACCUGCUCGAUACAACUGAAGAGGAGGUUACAAAGCUACUCUGGAACCCUUCCACUUGUGAUCUGCAUCCUACAAUAUGGAAUAUUCUAAAUGUCAUGGGCUUUCCCUAGCUAACAAGCUGGUUAUACUGGCUAUGCAUGAAGAUACCGAUUUGGGUCUUAAUUAACAUCUGUAGUUUAAUCAUACAAUUUGUGAUCCUGAGAAAUCUGAACUGUAGACUUUCUGGUUUUUCUGAUGACAGAAAAAUACUAUAAACAAAACGAAACUAAAAUAAUGUUUUAGCACAUAAAGAAUUUGUACCAGCUGUGGCUAUGGUAACUUUUGUUGAAAACUGGGAAUUCCGGAGAUUGUAUUUUUCAGUGCCUGCUGAAGGUUUUAAAGGUAAUAGACAUGAGAGUAAUACAUUAGCAACCUCAUAAGUUUUUUAGUGUUUAAGUUUAGACAUCAUUCUAUCUGAUUUUACAGGGGCUAACUCUUCUGCAGUGACAGGGCUGUAAAUCUCCAGCUAGGCUCAGUUUUAUUAUAAACAAUGUUGACCUGAAAGAGAAAAUAUGGAACAAAUUGCUGUGAAAGUGGAUUGGCCUGUUCAGUCUGGUGACCUAGUGAAGCGGUGCUGGACUUUAUAAUCUUCAUUGCAGACAGGUCUUCAUUGUUGAAGGAAGCAGGAAGUGUAAAGAGGGCUGUAAUUGCAUAUUCUUUAAUAAGAAAUAUAAUUGUUGCUUUCUCCAAACAUAUCUCAGACAGAUUUUAAUAGUGUGUAUGCACUGAAAAGACUCUGAAACACACCCUUCUACCCUACUUUGUUCAUAUACAUUGAUAUAUUCUAAUGUAUUUACACCCUCAAAAAAUGUAGUCCAUGUAGAGCAUUUCUGAUGUACAGGGUUCCUUACUCUUUUUUUCCUUUUAGAUUGACUAUGGUGUAGAGAAAUACAAUGGAGCAAGAUUCACUAAGAGAAAUAAGAGGUCCAGUAGAUAUAUUACUUUAGAUAUUUUGAAGUUUCUGUCUUAAAAUAAAGCUUUAUAGUGGUCAUGAUUAUAGUGGUCAGUCUUUACUACAGUGUCAAGGCCAUGCCAUCUUACAUAUUUGUUGAAAUAUCUCCAGUUGCUCAGCCUACUUAAAAAAAAAAAAAACAAAGAAAGCUUUUUUUUUAAAAUAAAUGAGACUACCAAUAUAUAUUAAAUUAUUUUUAUUUCCAUUGAGUAUAAUAUUUUAAAAACUUUGAAUUCUUCUUUCUGUGAAAUUUGAAGUUAGGAAAACAUUAGCUUUUAAUCCUAGGAGACUUAGACCUUCAGUCUAUUUGUAGAAAAGAUACACUGUGGAGAGUGGACUCAUAAGAUUCUCUGUGAUGACCUGACUAUAAUAAUCAGCUCAAAAAUGUUAAAGGUUUCAAGCUUUGUACCCAUAAUGUUUUUUUUUAUUCACUACACACAAAUAAAAACUGCAUUGUCUUGUGAAUUUGACACUGUCUUUAGUAUAUAUUCAUCUUGAAAGUAACUGGUGUGAGUUCAUCACUUCCUUUUUUAUAUCUUCCACUAAUCAGUCACCCUUGAUAAAGGCUUCACUUGCUCAGACGACCUAUGUGUGAAGUAUCCCAAUUCUAAUCCCUGGGAGGUAUUCAAGUGUGAUCUAUCUGAUGAAGGAAGAGUAGAACAGUGUCUAGUAUCUACUGAUGAUAUUUAUGCAACUGGGGUCUAGAAAGAGAUUUUAUAAAAAAGGAUAUAUGCAGGAAGAAGAAAAAGACCACUACUGUUUACCAUAGUUCAUAGGAUUUGUCUCUUUCAAAACCUUGUGUCAAGGUAAGUUGAAUCUGUGCAAGCAGAAAAAUGAAAUCGUGGUUUGCUACUGCUCAGCAAUAUUCAUGCAGUGAGUCAAGUCAACAAUACUGAGGUUGAGAAGAACACAAACCAAGGAGGUUGCCCAUGCAAAUGAUACAUCCUGGUUUCUUCCUCAUGAACUCUUCCAUGAAAUCUUGCUGCACCCAUCUUGAUUGCAUAUGCUAAUCCUGGCUUCUUAAUUGACUCAUAACAGAUUUAUCUGGAUUUCCAACUUCCUCUUCUCUUUUGAAUGUUAAUUAAAAGAAAAACGAUUACACUUAUGAUAUUCAUGACAACAACAGAGUUUUCUGCUAGAGAUGUUCAGAGCCAAAUUUUUCUUUUACUCAUAUGGGACUAUUCAAAAACAAUAAACUUGAGACUGCUUUGUGCUUUUGGUACCAUGUAGUGAAAAAUGGCCUUAGCAGGAAUGGAGGACAGUUCAUAUAGUAUAUCUUCCAAAUUUUACUUCAUACAGUAAAAUUGAGAAAAAGCCCCCAGCUUCUAGAAAAAAUUAUUUGUAACAAGUCAAAAGAAGUGCUUGUGCGGACUUGUAUAUUCUCCCUUUCUUCCCUAAAUUAGUGGCUGUCACUAUUAGGUUUGCAGAAUCAAGAAAAGGAGGGCUCCAAUAUUCUCUAUAUGGAAUAUGGAGAUUUUGAGGUAUAUCCCCAGCAUAGAUAGCUAAUUGUCCUUUGUUGUUUCUUAUGCUAGAUGCAGAAUUUGUUUAUUUUUACUCAGGAUUUAGGAACUCUUUAAAUAAUAGUUGUUAUGGUUUUCUUGUCAUAUGAACAAAAUGAGAUUUAAUUAAAGGUCUUCUUCCUUUUUUUUGAAAAAAACUAAUUCAUAUUGUGAACUUGCACAGGGCUUUUUUUUAAUUUGUUUUUUUGGUUUUGUUUUUGUUUCUCCUUAGCAAGGCACUUUGUAGUUAUAGUCUUGCUUGGUAACCCACCACAUUGUUGUUGGUGGUUUGGGGUUUUUUUUGUAUUCAGUAGAUUAAAUCAUACUAUCCUAUUUGGGAUCUUCCCAUCAUUACAGCUUUUGCCACCCAUAACCUUAUUUUAUGAUCAAAGGGGAAAUAAAAGGAAAGCAGUAAUGUUAAUAGGUUUUCCCAUGCAAUCUCUCUGGGAAUGGUCUUUUUAUAAAAGUGUCUUGAACUUGACCUCUUCAGAAGGCCCAAAGGUCCAACACACAUUUUUAAAGUUGCAUUUAAAUUUUAAUAUUUUUAUUCUGUGAAGUCAUUUAAAACCUGGCCCUCAAAACACAAAGCAUAAAUCUUUCAGGGCAGUCAUACAGUAAAAUUGAUGUGUGCGGAAGAGAAAUUCCGGAAAACCCCUAAAGCUCUGUUGCUUUGCUUUUCAUGUUGUUUUAUAGAUACGUUCCCUACAACACUACCAAAUAAUCAAACAAAAUCCAAUGAAUAAUAUUGUGAUUUCAUCACUCUGGCAUUUGAACUUGCAAAUAUAAUUUAGCAAUGAAUUAGAAGAGGAAAAGUUUUGCAUUGCCCCACCCUCAUUAUAAAAAUGUUCUUCAGAGCCAAACAUUUGAGACAUUAGGAAGAUUUACAGUAAUAAUAUAAGUAGCUAUAAUGAACUUGGGAACAAGGGAGUCUUGUAAGAGAUUCUCAGAAUGAGAGAGAGGUUUUGCAAGCAAUUCUAUCAACACUAAAUAAAUAUUUAGGAAGAUUGUCUUCUCUUAGUGAUUCUGUAUAAUAAUUGUAGUGCUAAUAGGAAGAAUAUUAUUUGAAUAUGAGAAGAUAUGUAUCUCUCAGUCCAUACAACUUGUUUGUGUGGGUGCAUCUAGUUCUCAUUAAAGGUACUGGUUUGACUGUCCUGAUUGCCAUGAAAAUAAGUUAGCUUUGUCAACAGCUGUACGAGGUUUCCAGCCAUUCUUCCAAGUUCAUCUGAGGGCAAUGUUUUCUGUCUGCAAUCUCUUUUUUUUCUGGAAUAGUGAACAAGGCACACGGAUAUGACAGGUCAGUUUGAUAACAUACUUGGAAAGGAAAAGAGCACAUGUUAAAUGACUGAACUUGACCUGUAGGUGGGGGUCACACCAUCGCCCAUCACUGCAACGUCAGUGUACACUCUCCAAGCUUGGUAACACAGAAAAUUCCUAUUUAAUCUUCCUUUCUUUAUUUGUGCAAAGUUCCUAGCUCCAGUUUCUAAAUCUGAAUCUCUGACCAUACCAGUAAACAGAGAAAACUGGGUAACAGGGAAAGUCAAGGCAUGAGGGAGGUAGGCAAGAGUGUCUACCAGUCACAUCUGGCACGUCCGCCCUGACAGCCCUGUUCAGUGUCCUGCUGCAAAGGGAGUGGCAGGGUUGGAGCAUGACCUCUUGUUCCCAACACUCACUCUGGCUUCCCGUGAGCAAGGCUGAGUUGAGGAUGUGAGCACAGAAACAGGGAAUCCCAUUGAAAUUGCUGGAAAAAAGCUCUCAUUAACUUAAUGAGAUUUGGAGCAUUACGAGGGAACUCCAGCUGGAACCAGAUCUGAACCCAAGUACGAAACAUUCCUGGAUAUACUACCACAAACUUGUUUCAAGGAGAAUAUGUGCUCAGACGUACAAAUGGCUAGAUUCUGAUCUCAGUAAUGUCAGUGUGAGUCUCUUAACUCAUUUAAACUGCACUCAGACAACUAGCCCUGAAGCCUGAAGACUGCAAAAUGAAGAUGCAGAAAUGCUACAGGAGACUGCAGAAGGAGGGUGGAGCUAUGAAGAUUUAGCCACACACCUUGCUGGAACACCUUAAGACAGCUACAGAUUUCCUAUCAUCUGAAGAAUAUGCUGAGGAAGUCAAGUCACCUGUUAUGAAGGAACGGGAAAAACAUCCCAAGAAAAGGCCCAUCAGACAGUUACUGGCUGCCAGCACAAAAUGGUGAGACAAACUGUGCUUCAACCUAGCAAGAAUUCAGGUGACACAUUUAAUUUAACUUGAUACCAUAACUUUACCUAUAAGGAAAAAUGGCCUAACAUAGUUAUACCAGGGGAAAAAAAACCCUUCCAGCUAUUUUUGAGUAGUAUUCACAUUCUGGGGUAAAAAAACCCUAAGUCCAAACAAACAGACAAAACCCCUGGCAUGGGUGUGCACACUGUAUCUUGGAAUUAGUCUGAUUUUUAUUCUAGAAUAAUUAUUCCACUCACAAUGCAGAGUAAUUAUUCCCAAAUAAAGUAUUUUUUUUUAUUGCAAUGAAGUGUCCAUCGGGAGCUAUCAUGGAGUAGUUAUCCCAGAAUUGCUGUGCUGCUUAACUUCCUCCCAUGUAGACAAGCCUUAAGAAAUCAUAUCCGAAAGAAGAAGAUCAAGGAGAAAAAAAAUGUGUCAGUGCAUGUGUUACAGCAUAAAGUGUGAGUGCUAAAAGUUAUACAUUGUAAUGUAGAUGAUGUAAACCACACAUUUAUCCCAGGAAGGUACAUGGUAACAGCAGCAGAAAAGGCUUUUGUGCAAAUGUGUAAUAAGAAUUCACACCUUUCCAUUUCAUUUAGAAGUUACUUUUGAAUAUUUCAAAUUGAGCUUUUUUUUUCUUUAUUCAAUGCAGAUGUACUGUUUACUGAAAAAUUCUAUGAUAUUCCCUCUGUGAUUAACUGCAAUGUUCAAUCUUUUGGAAUACAGUAGUCCUGGUAUGGUGCUGGGUCAUAUCUUCUGAAAUGAGCUGAAAUGCUUGACCUUUGGAGUGUGCCUCAACAACAAAUUAAACUCGAGGGUGGAAUGAGGAACAUUAUAUUAGUUGAGCCGGUACACCUCCUGUUAUAUUAAUACUUUACUGAGAUGCAUAGUGCAGUCCACCCUCUGCCUUGCUUCAGGCUGAGUAAUGUAUAGUCAUGUUUUCAUGCUCUCAGAACUUCAAAAAAAAACCCCAUGAAAACUAUGUAUAAGUCAGAAGACUUCUGGAAAUUGGUUCUGGGCAAGAUUUUGAUUAUCUUGCCACUUUAUGUCACUCUUAAGGCUUCCUAAUCUAUGAGUGACCCAGACAGGAACAUCUUCUCUGACUCCUGUCAUAUCUUGAUGACAGAGAUACCCUUAUGGUAUCCCUGGUGUCCCAAUCUCAUCUCAGGAACAUACUGUGUGACCUGCUGUUGGACUUGUCCCCACUCCCUCUGUUGCUGUGGUAUCCCUGGCAAAGCCCUUCUAACACUUGGUCCCUCACAUGGGUCCCACCAAUAUGCACACAUCUUGUAGUACGCAGCAACUGGUGCAGCUGGAGAAGGCAGAGGAGGAAUAUAAUAUUCAAAUGUGAAAUAGAAAGUGCUAGUUCUGAUGGGAGCAUCAAAAAAGGCCGACUAGAUGCCAUAUCUAGAGGACAAGACCCCCUGACAAACACCAACAUUAACUUUGUGCCUGGUGCGCAGCACCUAGCUGGCAAAAGCAGCCACCUCUCAGCCCAACUCCAAUGUUUCUUGGCUGCUCAGGGUACAUAUCACAAGCCAGAUAAUACUGAGAUGGCCUCCCAGGCAAGUACAAGCAACCGUGCACCUGUAAUUUUGGAAUAGGUGGACAAGCAAAUAUGUGUUUUGUUUUAAUUUUCGCCUGAAGCAGGCAGGUCUCCCAUCUCAGGGCAAAGGCUGGUGGACACUAUCUUCUGGAAGGUCAGCAGGUAGCCCUCCCAGAUCUGAGCAGAGCAACUUGUCUUUUACAAACCCACAUCUCUUCAAAAUCUGAGUGACUGCAGCGGGAGAAGGAACUCUGCAAGGUCUCUGCCAAGCCUUGUGAUGACCUUAGGUCCUGCCUCAGUGGACACAGCUCCGGCAAGGGAAGAGCCAUGUGCAGUGCCAUCUGGGCCCACACUGGCGAGGUGACCCUCCCUCCGGCACUCCGGCUGCGGACACCUGUGCUUCUGCCUGCCUCCAGAGCCCCAGUCCUUACUCCUCUCUCAGAUCUUGCCCAGGGAACCACUCAGGCGUCUCCCUCCAUCUCUCCUCUCUGCGGACAACAGUGAUGAGCCACUGUCUGUCCACCCCAGCUACUCCAGCUCGGCAACACGGGCAGUCAAGAGAAGGAUCUUGAUUGCCCCUGUACUAGGAUGGUGGAGAUGUCUGUUCUGCCUCCUGGGACCCUCACUGGCCCCUGCAGCCACACAGCAGACAUUGGCACCAUCAGGGACUGGCUUGCCUUCUGCCACCACAGGGUCUUACAGCUUUCCAGCCCCCAAAAACCAGGGGAGGAUGUUUGCCUUAAUGUGCCUUUUGUUUCAGUGAGUCUGACUUGAGACCCUCAGCAAGUAGGAAUAAAUUUACAAUCAGUAUUGAGAAGAAUUUCUCAAAUCCUCUAAGGAUAAUUUCCUCAAUACAUGAAUACUUUUACUAAUUUCUUGUUUGGGGAAAAGUGGGAAAAAAUACACCCACUAAAAUACAGGUUUGGGAGGGGUUGUUUGCUUUCACGAAUCUUCUAGCUCUUGUUGUGUUUUCACCUUGCUCAGCAGGACUGCCAGACCUUUCCCUUCCCAUUCUGAUACUUCUUC
Cuculus canorus (common cuckoo) is the source of this 13926-nucleotide long non-coding RNA. RefSeq lists it as uncharacterized. NCBI's taxonomy places the organism in Eukaryota, Metazoa, Chordata, Aves, Cuculiformes, Cuculidae. The transcript is spliced from 3 exons. The record is from RefSeq and is a predicted model, not a curated record.